Molecule: ribosomal RNA, 264 nt
Filed under: uncultured archaeon
Lineage: Archaea
Description: partial 16S ribosomal RNA
Rfam family: Archaeal small subunit ribosomal RNA
Source: RNAcentral
AGACGUCUACAUUAGAUACCCCUGUAGUCCCAGCCGUAAACUAUGCGCGUUAGGUGUAUCGGUGACCACGAGUUACCGAGGUGCCGAAGGGAAACCGUGAAACGUGCCGCCUGGGAAGUACGGUCGCAAGGCUGAAACUUAAAGGAAUUGGCGGGGAGCACCACAACGGGUGGAGCCUGCAGUUUAAUUGGACUCAACGCCGGGAAGCUCACCGGAUAAGACAGCGGAAUGAUUGCCGGGCUGAAGACUCUGCAUGACUAGCUG